AUUGAACGCUGGCGGAAGGCUUAACACAUGCAAGUCGGGCGGGGGAAGGUAGCUUGCUACCGGACCUAGCGGCGGACGGGUGAGUAAUGCUUAGGAAUCUGCCUAUUAGUGGGGGACAACAUCUCGAAAGGGAUGCUAAUACCGCAUACGUCCUACGGGAGAAAGCAGGGGAUCGUCGGACCUUGCGCUAAUAGAUGAGCCUGAGUCGGAUUAGCUAGUUGGUGGGGUAAAGGCCGACCGAGGCGACGAUCUGUAGCGGGUCUGAGAGGAUGAUCCGCCCAACUGGGACUGAGACACGGCCCAGACUCCUACGGGAGGCAGCAGUGGGGAAUAUUGGACAAUGGGGGGAACCCUGAUCCAGCCAUGCCGCGUGUGUGAAGAAGGCCUUAUGGUUGUAAGGCACUUUAAGCGAGGAGGAGGCUCUUUUGGUUAAUACCCAAGAUGAGUGGACGUUACUCGCAGAAUAAGCACCGGCUAACUCUGUGCCAGCAGCCGCGGUAA
Molecule: ribosomal RNA, 501 nt
Filed under: uncultured bacterium
Lineage: Bacteria
Description: partial 16S ribosomal RNA
Rfam family: Bacterial small subunit ribosomal RNA
Source: RNAcentral